CGUCCCCGUUCGGGGGACAGGGUGACGAGGUUGGUGCAUGGUUGUCGUCAGCUCGUGUCGUGAGAUGUUGGGUUAAGUCCCGCAACGAGCGCAACCCUCGCCUCUAGUUGCCAGCAUCGGUUGGGCACUCUAGAGGGACUGCCGGCGACAAGUCGGAGGAAGUGGGAUGACGUCAAAUCAUCAUGCCCCUUAUGACCUGGGCUACACACGUGCUACAAUGGGCGGUACAAAGGGCUGCGAACCCGCGAGGGGGAGCGAAUCCCAAAAAGCCGCUCUCAGUUCGGAUUGCAGGCUGCAACUCGCCUGCAUGAAGCCGGAAUCGCUAGUAAUCGCGGAUCAGCAUGCCGCGGUGAAUACGUUCCCGGGCCUU
RNAcentral lists this ribosomal RNA (370 nucleotides) under uncultured Geobacillus sp. RNAcentral's name for it is "bacterial SSU rRNA". It matches the Rfam family "Bacterial small subunit ribosomal RNA", at positions 1012 to 1382 of the family's 1533-position model. Lineage: Bacteria; Bacillati; Bacillota; Bacilli; Caryophanales; Anoxybacillaceae. The record is from RNAcentral.